CACACACACACCCCCUGGCGUCCACAGCAUGUGGUUUUGAUUAACUGGUUAAUCCUACAGGUGAAAUGAUUUUCCUGAAAGUGGUUUGAUUAAUUUCUGAUAUGUUUAUCCAAGUGUAUAUUCAUGUCACUUGUCAUAGCAAGUCCUGAUCCCAUGCCCUGCCAGCAGCUGGGGAGGGAAGCCCAAGUGUUUCUCUGGGUAUGUCUACACUGCAAUCUGAGGUGUGAUUGCCCCUCAGGUAGACGUAACUGUGCUAGCAUGGGUAAAAAUAGCAAUGUAGAUGCAGCAGCAUGGGCUUCAGGAAUGCACAUAGGUACCCUGGUGUGUUUGUACUGCCGUAUCUACAUUGCUAUCUUUAGCCAUGUCAGCCUGAGCUGCAGUCACGCCUCAGAUUGCAGUGGAGAGGUACCCUUGGUCAGUGCACUUUAUUGUCCUUGCACUAGGGCUUUCUGUUCUCUCUCUUCAGCCUUGGUAUGUCCUUCCUCACAGCUGUACACCUGGAUCUUCUGUCCAGACAGAUGUGCAUGCAUAUUUGGUAACAUACUUCGUACAUCUCCUCUUGGGGUUGUACCACUUCCCCUGUGCUGCCCUCUAGCACCAUCAUUUCCUGAUAUUUAUAAGUAGUAUUUUAAUAGUAAUUCAAAAUAUGCAAAGCAAAACUAUUUGCUAUUGGUUCAAAAUGCUGCUGUGAGAUUAGAGGAGUGACCUCUCCCUUUGGGGACUGCAGAAGGAAGGGAGCAGACCCUAAUUUAUGCAUAUGGUGAAGGUCCUAAAAUCCUUUUCUCCAGGUCAAUACAAAAUGCGAUUUAAAAUGAUGCAAAAUGCUCUGGACCAUGUCUUGCUCUCAGAAAUGCCUUUGCAAUUUUACGAAUACUAAAAGAAUCAGAAACUAGUACAAGCAAAGUCAGCUGCAAACAGCUGUUAAAUAAACUCGCAGGUCCAAAUGGGCAGGAAACUGAAUCAUACUAGCUAUGCAAGCAAACCACUCAGUGGAACUUUAUUUGGACCAAUGCAGAAUUGCUGAAGCACCUUUCAUACUGCAGUAGAGACCCAGAAGUUCUGCAGGGUGACAUAUAUUUAAAUGUAUGUAGAUUGUUUUUGUACCAUAUGUGGAAUGCUGUUGCAUGAGCCAACAUUAGCAAUGAGUUUUACCUGUUUGCACAUUGGCAGUGCUUUCUCACCCUGCAGUGUUGCAGCUGGUCUCAUCCAUGUGGCAUUCACUAGGGUGCAGUAUUCGUAGCCUGACAGCAGUGAUGCUCACAAGCUGUAUGAACUGUUCUGUCCAUACUAAUUUCUCUUGGUCAGGGAAUUAUGCUUUGGAACCAUUUGUCUGAGGUUUUGUGCAAACCAGUCCUUCCCUUCAGACACAGAAAUGUAACUCCAGAACAAAACACGGGCUGUGCUAGGCAACAGGUGUGGAGCCAGUGGAUCCUAUUUUAAAGUGCUGGGUGGAUAGUGGUGAAGUAUCAAACCAGGGAAGGAUUUGCUGUUUUGGAGCUGAGCCCUCGCUAGUGGCAGAUGUAAAAGUUUAGCAAACCUUUGGCUGCUACCAUUUCAUAACAAAAUCAAACUAUUCUAUUUUCUGGUUCCUAACAUGGAGCAUGCAGAGCACACGUUUUUCUGUUGGAGCCAUAGUUCUAAAAUGUACUUUAUGAAAUGUAUUCUGUAUAGAGAUCAUUAUAUUAUACAUUUAACAAGACCAAGAUGGUGACAACUUGCCCCUAGCACAUGACGAGCUAAUGGGAGCAGUCUAGCAUGCCCCCUUUUAAAGUAGUGUCCUUCUGUGCACUGGAGAAGGUCCCUCCGAAAUUAGCCCAGGGGUAGUUCCCUUGGUGGGAUAUGGACUCCCAGCUUUUUUGCGAAUAUUGAGCUCUCUGUGGUAGCAGGAAAGGAAACCCCCCGUUCCUGUGCUUUUCCCCCAUGUGCAGUAGUACACAGCUCUCAAGGAUGUUGGUGGGAAAGCUUGGGUCAGAUGAUCUACAGAGGGAGACGGGUCACCUCUGUCCAGGCAAUACGUGAGCCAACCACAGACAAAGGAGAGCAUGCGGCCACGAGGCUGCUCUUCUUGUCAACCUCAGUGAUCAGCUUACACCAGAGGUAGCCAAAUCCAGAUGGCUGGAUGCUUUAGAACAGAUGCCAGAAUCUUUUAAUUUAUUUAUUAUCAUUAUUAUUGUUCUUCUUAAAAUUAUUUUCUCUGGAGUCUAGACCUUGACUAUACCUUAACCAAGAAAUUUUGGACCUUGACAAAAAAUAAUUGAUUGUCCCUGGGUUAUACCAUAGUUUGGGUGUGGCCAGACUGAAGUAGGAUAAUUCUCUUUAGCUCACUCGUUUCCAGAAUGCACCUAAAUCGUGUUGUGAUUCUUGAAUAAUAAUAAUAAAUCUUGACAGGUGGUAGCUAGAUGUUACUGCAAGUGGAUGACGGCAAAUAGAUGAAUGAAGGUGUACAGACCCAGAAGCAAAGCUUUGGUAUAGACUGGCUCAUCAUCUGUAGACCCUUCUAUUCAGGUCUGUAAAGAUGCCGCUUCAUCUUUUGCCAUUCAGUAGCAUUUGCAGGAAGAUCUGAAAGUUGCUGCUGUUCUCUGUACAGGGAGAUAAUGGCAAUACUCAAGCUUUGCUGAGUAAUUUUUACAAGCGUCUUGUGAACACAAAAAACACAUCCUUCCCUAAUGAACAAGCCAAGAUGUAUAGCUAAUACCUGGAAACUUGCAAAUGGCCAUGCACCAAAUUCAAAGCAUGAUCUCUCUCUUUUUUUCCAGUAGAAUUGCACCAUCCCUUUUUACUGUCAAAAUUGCCUGGCUGUAAAAUUAUUAAUGUUGCUGUCCACAAGUGUACAUUUGCAAUAGAUCUCUUGUCUGCAGUAAAGUGCCAAUUAAUGACCAUCCUGACUGCAAAUCUGUUUCCACUGCAUCCCUCGUGCAGUCUCUUCCCUCCCAGAGGCAGGAAGAAGAACUUUUUGCAUUGACUACUAUCAGGAUUGCUUUGUACAGUGUAUGUAACUGCCAUCUGCAUAAAUUUUAUAUGUACAAUAAUUUCCCUUUUAUAUGUCAGGUAAAUAUUUGUAAGAGUUGUACUCACACAAAUGAGAUUAUAAUAAUGAUUACUAAUAUAUUUUUUCCAUGUUUCAUUGCCUGAAUAAAAACUGUAUUUACCA
Molecule: long non-coding RNA, 3151 nt
Organism: Dermochelys coriacea (leatherback sea turtle)
Lineage: Eukaryota; Metazoa; Chordata; Testudines; Dermochelyidae
Exons: 2
Source: RefSeq, a predicted model, not a curated record